CCUACGGGUGGCAGCAGUGAGGAAUAUUGGUCAAUGGACGGAAGUCUGAACCAGCCAUGCCGCGUGCAGGAAGACGGCUCUAUGAGUUGUAAACUGCUUUUGUACAAGGGUAAACCUGAAUACGUGUAUUCAGCUGAAAGUACUGUACGAAUAAGGAUCGGCUAACUCCGUGCCAGCAGCCGCGGUAAUACGGAGGAUCCAAGCGUUAUCCGGAUUUAUUGGGGUUAAAGGGUGCGUAGGCGGAUUGAUAAGUUAGAGGUGAAAUGUCCGAGCUUAACUCGGGAACUGCCUCUAAUACUGUUGGUCUAGAGAGUAGAUGCGGUAGGCGGAAUGUAUGGUGUAGCGGUGAAAUGCUUAGAGAUCAUACAGAACACCGAUUGCGAAGGCAGCUUACCAAUCUAUAUCUGACGUUGAGGCACGAAAGCGUGGGGAGCAAACAGGAUUAGAUACCCCUGUAGUC
This 460-nucleotide ribosomal RNA is filed under the name uncultured bacterium. RNAcentral's name for it is "partial 16S ribosomal RNA". It matches the Rfam family "Bacterial small subunit ribosomal RNA", at positions 338 to 795 of the family's 1533-position model. The record is from RNAcentral.